RNAcentral lists this ribosomal RNA (557 nucleotides) under uncultured Caulobacter sp. Its description in RNAcentral is "bacterial SSU rRNA". It matches the Rfam family "Bacterial small subunit ribosomal RNA", at positions 102 to 694 of the family's 1533-position model. The record is from RNAcentral. Lineage: Bacteria; Pseudomonadati; Pseudomonadota; Alphaproteobacteria; Caulobacterales; Caulobacteraceae.
ACGGGUGAGUAACACGUGGGAACGUGCCCUUUGGUUCGGAACAACUCAGGGAAACUUGAGCUAAUACCGGAUGUGCCCUUCGGGGGAAAGAUUUAUCGCCAUUGGAGCGGCCCGCGUAGGAUUAGCUAGUUGGUGGGGUAAAGGCCCACCAAGGCUACGAUCCUUAGCUGGUCUGAGAGGAUGAUCAGCCACAUUGGGACUGAGACACGGCCCAAACUCCUACGGGAGGCAGCAGUGGGGAAUCUUGCGCAAUGGGCGAAAGCCUGACGCAGCCAUGCCGCGUGAAUGAUGAAGGUCUUAGGAUUGUAAAAUUCUUUCACCGGGGACGAUAAUGACGGUACCCGGAGAAGAAGCCCCGGCUAGCUUCGUGCCAGCAGCCGCGGUAAUACGAAGGGGGCUAGCGUUGCUCGGAAUUACUGGGCGUAAAGGGAGCGUAGGCGGAUAGUUUAGUCAGAGGUGAAAGCCCAGGGCUCAACCUUGGAAUUGCCUUUGAUACUGGCUAUCUUGAGUACGGAAGAGGUAUGUGGAACUCCGAGUGUAGAGGUGAAAUUCGUAGA